CCCUUACAGAAUUGUUUGCAAGAUCCUGUUAGAUAGGUGGCUUACUAAAACCUCAUGUCUUAAAUACUGAAGUAGGAUGUUAAUGUGUGCUCCUUUGUCAACUGCCCUGGUUGCUUGGCAGGUCCUUGUCUUUCUUUCCCCAUUCAGAGCUUUUGCAACUGAAUAGAAACUGAGAACUUUCUUAGAUACAAAUCCCACCAGAUACAGAAUCCACAGAUAUGGAUUAAUACCACCAUAUCACCCAUGUAGCUCACAGAAUAACCUAGCAGAUGGAUGAAGCCUGAGUUGCUACUGACAUGUGAGGCAAACACAAAGUUGCAUGAUAACUUGUACUUGAGGAAGGGGCAAAAUACGUUUCUUUCCCAGAAGUGAGCAUAUCAACCUACUUACUUGAAGCUUUUUUCUAC
RNAcentral lists this long non-coding RNA (407 nucleotides) under Anser brachyrhynchus (Pink-footed goose). RNAcentral describes it as "lncRNA (ENSABRG00000013354.1)". Lineage: Eukaryota; Metazoa; Chordata; Aves; Anseriformes; Anatidae. The record is from RNAcentral.